Chiloscyllium plagiosum (whitespotted bambooshark) is the source of this 2242-nucleotide non-coding RNA. Lineage: Eukaryota; Metazoa; Chordata; Chondrichthyes; Orectolobiformes; Hemiscylliidae. The record is from RefSeq and is a predicted model, not a curated record.
CAAAUGUCACUAGCUCAGAGUUCAAGGGUGAUGGUUUUCCUUCAGUGAAUUGCAGCUACUCAAGCCAUGAAAGCUAGUGGCACAUACAUUCUUGCCUGCCUUCUUCAUAUUUUGAAUUCACUAAGUGAACUGUACGUCUCAUACAUAAAUCCUUCUGCCACCUUUGGUGACAGUGGAGCGGAUUCAACAGAGGAGAGCAUUUGUUGCACAGCAACACAAGGCACAAGGCCAUCAGAGGGCAACAGCUCAGGGGAGGGAGGUCAAGCAUUGGCAAUCUGGGAUGUGUCAACAUUGCCAAAGAGUAUUGAUGGAUCAGAGCAUGUUCAAAGUACCCAUCAACAACUUUCAGGCAUUUGAGAAGAAAUACCAGAGCCAGCAAAGGCUUUCAUGGAAGCUCCAUGUGAUCCUACAAGACCUUGGCUUUGAAAGGAUCUUAUGAGUUGCAAUCAAGGUAACUGCAGCCGAAAUUUCUAAGUCAGUGGCUUAUUCUAAAACUCAUACAUCAGCUGAGGGAAAAUGAUAACCUAUAGCCAGCAGACAUUUCCUGGCAUGAAGAUUUAGGUCUGCAGGAUCAAUUCUAAGGAUAGCCAUGGUAACACUUCUGAUAGGUUUAUCCUGCCAAUGUGAUGGGACACAUUCAGAGCUGAUGAAAUAAAAGGCUGGGAUUUUGGCUUAGAGGUAUGAUUCUGUAUAUGUAUCUACAUCAGGCUAUUGCUCAAUUAAUCUUGGGGGGGAAUAGGUGUCCAGAUUUUGACAUUAAUCCUCACACAGUAACGAAGAGGACCUAAGAGGACUGGGCUAGGUUUGCAUUUGACCAGUUAAGAACAGCAGAUGCCCUUCCCCAAAAAUGCAUAAAUUGAACCAGUUGUGUUUUUAUGACAACGCUGGUCACUAUUACAAAUAAUAGCUUUCAACUUCAGAUUUGUUUCAUAAAAAGAAUUUAAAAUCCAGAACUGCUCAAUCAGAUUUGUGGUCUUUCUACAAAUUAUUGGUUCAAGCUUCUGGAUUACUAAUCUAGGAACAAAAUCACAAUACUACUGUAAUCUCCUUUCAGACCAGUAUAUUAAAAGCAGAUGGACAGAGGUAACAAUACCAUCUUUGGACUCAGCAGCCUGUGAUUUUCCAUCCAGUGACUUUAGCUCACUGACAAGUUGCAGAGUGGAAAUGUUACUUCAGUGUCUGGGAAUGUUAUAUACUGUUGUCGACACUGGAUUUAAGAAGCUGCUGUCAACGGGUGUCUUACAAUCUUUGUUAAUGAACCAAUCAAAGAGAAUCAGUUCUGUCAGCUGCACUCUUGAAAAGCACUAUGAAUUCAUUCUCCUCACAUGAACAGAAAAUCAUGUAAGGACUGCUGAACUCUAUUUCCAAAUUUCCAAUGUACUUCCAAAAGGCAAUGCUUGGCGUGGAAAUAUGCCCUUUAAAUGUUCUAUGAGAUUUUGGUACAGGGAUAGAAAUGCAUUCCUUUUCUAAUGUGCCUCCAAAUUUCCAUAGUCGAGUGUCAUCAGGAAUGGCUCCAGCCCGAAACGUCGAUUCUCCUGCUCCUUGGAAGCUUCCUGACCUGCUGUGCUUUUCCAGCAACACACUCCCGACUCUGAUCUCCAACAUAAGACCUCAUUUUCUCCAACUUUCCAUAGUCAUGUGACAUCUACCAUGAGGCAUUCUAUUGAAGCAUCCUUCUUACAGACAGAUUAAUUACAAAGUAUCAAAAGGCUCAAUACAAGCAAAACUGCUGUCCUGUGAACUUGGGAAAGUCACUAAGGAUGCACCAUUAUUUUUGAAUUGGAAGAUAUCUCAGAACAAUUUCCAUAACUUUCAGGGGUAUGGACAAACUGACAACACCAACAGUUGUUGCCCAUUCCUAGUUGCACUGUUCAAAGUGGUGCUGAGCUGCCUUCUUAAUGUUCUGCAGUUCAUGCAAUGAACAGUACAAGGGAGGGAGUGACAGGAUUUUAACAAAGCGACUGUGAAAGGAAGACAACAUAAUUCCAAGUCAGGAUGUGUCUGCUUUGAACCUCCACACUGAAUUUCAAGUAAUUUAAUGUCGCCUUGACACUUCACCCCCAUUGGUUACUUUAGUUUGAAGCUUGAUACAGGCUGAACAACAUUUGUGCUCAUCAGAAGCCAUUACCUUUGAAGUCCAGCCAUCUUUCAACUGACCAGAUUUUCCACAUUGCCAAAGGCUUGCUCCCAACAAAAGGCACAGCAAUUAGGUUAAAAAAAAUCCAAUGAACUUACGGAGGUU